CUUUGGAAAGUAAAACAAAGUUAAACCCAGAAAGAAAAAAGAAGCGGGAGCACCGAGUAGAAGUGAAGGGUUUAGCAAUGAACUCAACCUAGGAUUCUGAGGAACCACUAGUAGACAAACUAUAGUAUGGUCUCCAACUUCUUUUUCUCAAUCUUGGUGGAUAGUGAAUCAGAAAAAUGGCAUUUGCAUUCGAUGAGUUCGGUAGGCCAUUCAUAAUAAUCAAGGAACAAGAGAAGAAAACCCGAUUAAGAGGUCUUGAUGCUCAAAAAGCCAAUAUUUCCUCUUGCAAAGACGUAGUUCGCAUUCUCCGUACUUCUCUUUGUCCUAAGCGCAUGGGAAAGAUGCUUCAGAGCCCUGACGGUGAUGUCACUAUCACAAAUGAUGGUGCAACUAUCCUUGAGCAGAUGGAUGUUUACAAUCAGAUUGCGAAGUUGAUGGUUGAGUUGUCACGAAGUCAGGAUUAUGAAAUUGGUGAUGGAACUAAUGGAGUUGUUGUCAUGGCUGGGGCUCUUCUAGAACAAACGGAGAAGCUAUUAGAACACGGUGUUCACCCUAUUCGAGUUGCAUUGGAGCAUACUGCAAAUAAGGUUGAAUUUUGUUUGAAUGAGUUUGAGCCUUUGAUUCAAACCUGCAUGACUACGUUAUCUUCUAAGAUAAUGCUUUGUCAUUCUAUCGAUGUUGGUGCCACCUUGGUUCCACAUGUGAUUAGGUGGGAGAAUUGUGCCGAGGCUGGUCUGGUUAUAGAGAAACCAUUUGGAACAAGAAAGGACAGGAUGAUUUACAUUGAACAUUGUGCAAAUUAAAGGGUUGUGACAAUAUUUAUCCGUGGUGGUAACAAGAUGAUGAUAGAGGAGACAAAAUGUAGGAUCCAUGAUGCUUUAUGUGUGGCUACAAAUCUUACUCGCAACGACUCCAUUGUGUAUGGUGGUGGUUCAACUGAGAUCUUUUGGUCAAUUGCUGUGGAAGCAGCAACUGAUAAACACCUAGGAGUUCAGUAGUAUGCUAUCAGGGCAUUUGCUGAUGCUUUGGAUUCUAUCCCAAUGGCACUUGCUGAGAAUAGUGGUCUCCAACCCAUUGAAACUCUAUCUGCUGUCAAAUCUCAGCAAAUUAAGCUUGAUAUUUCUUACAGGAAACAAUCCUUGGUGUGGGAUAGAUUGCAAUGAUGUUGGAACAAAUGACAUGUGUAAGCAAAAUUUGUUUGAGACACCGAUUGGGAAGCAACAACAGAUGCUGCUUGCAACACAGGUUGUUAAGAUGAUUUUAAAGAUUGACGAUGUCAUUAGUCCAUCCGAAUAUUAAUUGAUGUUUACAUAAAUCAAAGUGGACAUUUUAGCUUUGGUAAUGCUACUCAAGGUAAUCUUAGUUCUAUGUGGUAAUUAAGUUCAAAUUUUGGUUGUUGACGAAUUGAUAUGAUUUUAGGAUUGAAGACGUUGAUUAAUGAGCAGUGGUAUCGCAAAAACUAGAAAUUCUUUAA
This is an RNA transcript of Solanum pennellii, 1474 nucleotides long. It is a transcript of the gene named T-complex protein 1 subunit epsilon-like, with no coding region annotated. The transcript is spliced from 8 exons. The record is from RefSeq and is a predicted model, not a curated record. Lineage: Eukaryota; Viridiplantae; Streptophyta; Magnoliopsida; Solanales; Solanaceae.